RNAcentral lists this ribosomal RNA (490 nucleotides) under uncultured bacterium. RNAcentral's name for it is "partial 16S ribosomal RNA". It matches the Rfam family "Bacterial small subunit ribosomal RNA", at positions 30 to 507 of the family's 1533-position model. The record is from RNAcentral.
AUUGAACGCUGGCGGCAGGCAUAACACAUGCAAGUCGAACGGUAACAGGAAGAAGCUUGCUUCUUUGCUGACGAGUGGCGGACGGGUGAGUAAUGUCUGGGAAACUGCCUGAUGGAGGGGGAUAACUACUGGAAACGGUAGCUAAUACCGCAUAACGUCGCAAGACCAAAGAGGGGGACCUUCGGGCCUCUUGCCAUCGGAUGUGCCCAGAUGGGAUUAGCUAGUAGGUGGGGUAACGGCUCACCUAGGCGACGAUCCCUAGCUGGUCUGAGAGGAUGACCAGCCACACUGGAACUGAGACACGGUCCAGACUCCUACGGGAGGCAGCAGUGGGGAAUAUUGCACAAUGGGCGCAAGCCUGAUGCAGCCAUGCCGCGUGUAUGAAGAAGGCCUUCGGGUUGUAAAGUACUUUCAGCGGGGAGGAAGGGAGUAAAGUUAAUACCUUUGCUCAUUGACGUUACCCGCAGAAGAAGCACCGGCUAACUCCGUG